This 272-nucleotide long non-coding RNA is filed under the name Manihot esculenta (cassava). RNAcentral's name for it is "long non-coding RNA (MESC_LNC001687)". The record is from RNAcentral. Lineage: Eukaryota; Viridiplantae; Streptophyta; Magnoliopsida; Malpighiales; Euphorbiaceae.
AUCAUGCAUUGUCCUCAAUGUAUAAGAAACAUAAAAGAACAAAGGAAACUGAGUACUCCCCUGGGUGUGGUGUGCAUGGUGUGAUCCACUUGAUCAAGGCUCAAGUAAUUGGAGAAGAGAAAAGAGUCCCAAUUGCAUUGAGCAAAAAGUGUAGCACUCCUUUCGAUUUUGUCAUAGCCCAUCCUAUUUUUUCCAUGUACUCAUGAAGUAACAUGAUUAGUUUCUCCUCUUUCAGAUGAGGUGUGCCUCUAGCCCUUAUGUUUGCAUUUUUG